Long non-coding RNA from Homo sapiens (human), 510 nucleotides. RefSeq lists it as uncharacterized. Lineage: Eukaryota; Metazoa; Chordata; Mammalia; Primates; Hominidae. The transcript is spliced from 3 exons. The record is from RefSeq and is a predicted model, not a curated record.
CAGUCAAGUGCCUAUUAGAUAUGAGGGAAAAGGCCCUGUUGGAAGGCUGCAGGCCUGCCGUUUUUGUCUCAGUAGAGAAUAAACUCCUGGGACAUUUCAUCUUUGGAUACUACAGAGCCUGAUAUUAAUUGCAUGUUGGGAGAACUGUGUCCCUGGGAUCUUUUUGGAUUCAGUGUCCUGCGUCCUUGCCAGUGUCUCCUGAUUUGCUGAUCUUCAGUGAUCUCCAAUCUCAAAUAACAGCCCCGACAACCAAUACAUGAGCCUUAGACACUGAGUUGUCACUUGAAGAUUCAACUACCUCUUCAUUCAACACACAAGACCAGAGAGCUAACUCCCUUCCCUAACACCACACACCAAAGAAGAGAAGGAGAACUUUGCAAAUCAGGACUAUCAUAGAUGAAUCCAGCUUAUAGGCCAGAAGGUAAACUAGAUGACUAAACAUGAGGUGUGCUGCAUAAUGCUUGCAUAAGAAUAUCUUUGCUGAAUAAACUGCAUGAGUUUACGUCAUCA